This is a long non-coding RNA of Mus pahari (shrew mouse), 1191 nucleotides long. RefSeq lists it as uncharacterized. The transcript is spliced from 3 exons. Lineage: Eukaryota; Metazoa; Chordata; Mammalia; Rodentia; Muridae. The record is from RefSeq and is a predicted model, not a curated record.
UAUCCAGGGGGAGGAGGAGCAGCUUGAGGACUUUGUAAUCCAAUUCAGCCAUGCUGUGGCGCCCUUCGGAGCUAAGAUAGAGACCUGCUGGUCCGGAUUUCUGUCAGCGCAGAAUAGGUCAGAGGUGAACUUGGAUGUUGACGCUCAGGAGCCAGCUGACCCGUUUUUUGGAGGGACCAGGCUGGGUUUCAAAAAGAAGGCCAUAAAGCACCAGCUUCUGGAACAGGCCACACGUCCCAGGAACAGGCCACACGUCCCAGGAACAGGCCACACGUCCCAGGAACAGGCCACAUAUCCCAGGAACGGGCCACAUAUCCCAGGAACGGGCCACACGUCCCAGGAAUGGGCCACAAGUCCCAGGAACGGGCCACACGUCCCAGGAACAGGCCACACAUCCCAGGAAUGGGCCACAAGGCACCAAUUCCAAGAACAGACUAUACACCCCAGAAACAAGGUCAUAAAACCCUCUCCCAAAGAACAAUCUGGGGAAUAACCACACAAAUGGGGAAAUAGCCUAUCUCAGAAUGGGCCAUCUGUGUUGGGCAACCAGAUCUCAUUCUAUGGUUAAGCAGUCAUGACAUAGGAAUGCAGACCACUGACUGCCUGUGAAUCCCUAGCACCCACCAAUGAAAUUUUAGAUUACCUAACCUUUCUAGAGAGUUCACCAGGUUUCCUAUAAGAAGGUCCGAGAGCCUUUUGUCUGGGGUCAGUGUAGGCAUAAAUUUCUUGAAACCUACUUUUAAUAAGGGUUUAACCUCUCCUCUAGCCCACCACCCAGUAGAGGUAGUUAGAAAAGUUAUUAGGAUAUGGAGGAAGUUCUUUGGGGGAGAUUGCAGUGUUCUUUCUCAGCAAUUCAGUCCCAUAUCAAACAACAAAUACAACUCAGCAGCUGCAGACCAGUCCUCUAGGCAGGCAGACAGCACACACAAACUGGCAGAUACUGUCCAGUCCUUUGAGCAGGCAGACACCAGGCAUGAACCAGCAGCUGUAGUUCAAUCCUAAAGAAGCCCUUGCCAGUCUCACCAACAGACAAGGCCAUGGAAGUGGCAGGCUGCUGCAGGAAACUCAUGAGCAGUCUUGGUGAGUUUCUCUCAAUGGCAGCAUUACCACAAAUUGACCUCAACCACGCUGUAUAAGGCGAACCAAUACAUGCCUGUCAUUAGUGAAGAAUAGCAAGGUGGAACAAACCAA